UGUUCCUACGGGGGGCAGCAGUGGGGAAUAUUGGGCAAUGGGCGCAAGCCUGACCCAGCAACGCCGCGUGAAGGAAGAAGGCUUUCGGGUUGUAAACUUCUUUUGUCAGGGACGAAGCAAGUGACGGUACCUGACGAAUAAGCCACGGCUAACUACGUGCCAGCAGCCGCGGUAAUACGUAGGUGGCAAGCGUUAUCCGGAUUUACUGGGUGUAAAGGGCGUGUAGGCGGGGAGGCAAGUCAGAUGUGAAAACCACGGGCUCAACCUGUGGCCUGCAUUUGAAACUGUUUUUC
This 293-nucleotide ribosomal RNA is filed under the name uncultured bacterium. RNAcentral's name for it is "partial 16S ribosomal RNA". It matches the Rfam family "Bacterial small subunit ribosomal RNA", at positions 334 to 641 of the family's 1533-position model. The record is from RNAcentral.